UACAGAGGUCUCAAGCGUUGUUCGGAUUCAUUGGGCGUAAAGGGUGCGUAGGCGGCGCGGUAAGUCGGGUGUGAAAUCUCGGGGCUUAACUCCGAAACUGCAUUCGAUACUACCGUGCUUGAGGACUGGAGAGGAGACUGGAAUUUACGGUGUAGCGGUGAAAUGCGUAGAUAUCGUAAGGAAGACCAGUGGCGAAGGCGGGUCUCUGGACAGUUCCUGACGCUGAGGCACGAAGGCCUGGGGAGCAAACGGG
RNAcentral lists this ribosomal RNA (253 nucleotides) under uncultured bacterium. RNAcentral's name for it is "partial 16S ribosomal RNA". It matches the Rfam family "Bacterial small subunit ribosomal RNA", at positions 524 to 776 of the family's 1533-position model. The record is from RNAcentral.